This 383-nucleotide ribosomal RNA is filed under the name Osmundea sp. RNAcentral describes it as "partial small subunit ribosomal RNA". It matches the Rfam family "Eukaryotic small subunit ribosomal RNA", at positions 582 to 975 of the family's 1831-position model. Lineage: Eukaryota; Rhodophyta; Florideophyceae; Ceramiales; Rhodomelaceae. The record is from RNAcentral.
AUUCCAGCUCUGUAAGCGUAUACCAAAGUUGUUGCAGUUAAAACGCUCGUAGUCGAACCUUGGCGUGAGUUACGGAGGCUCCUAAUGGACGUCGAAGUAACUCCGCCUUUGUGGAGGGGGGUGUGGUGUUACUUCAUUGUAUUGCCGCAUUUCCGCCACUGUUUACUGUGAAAAAAUUAGAGUGUUCAAAGCGAGCGUUUGCCAUGAAUACAUUAGCAUGGAAUAAUAGAAUAGGACCUGGUCCUGUUUUAUUGGUUUGUCUGUAUCAGGUAAUGAUUAACAGGGACGGUCGGGGGCAUUUGUAUUCCAGCGUUAGAGGUGAAAUUCUUGGAUCGCUGGAAGACAAACAGCUGCGAAAGCGUCUGCCAAGGACGUUUUCAUUG